CGCUGAAAUGUGACCGUUAAAAAUCUCGUGAACGUGAACGCGCAGCGCGCGGCCGCCGGGACAAACGGCUCAGAUGCAAAUGAACAGUUUAAUAAAUGACAGAAAAUCAAACCGACAGCGUUUUUAUUUCCUUAUUACAGUUUAGGGUUCGAUAUUCAGAACAAAGUUCGUGGGUGUGACGGGAGGAAUGUACCAGGUUCGCUGCAAUUUUCAGAAAAUGUUUAGGAGUAUACAGCAAGCUUCUGAGCUGUGACCUCAACCCCACCUCUGGAUUGAAUCAGAAUGUUGACUGUGAGCCAGGGCUUCUAAUUCAACAUCAGUGAACUAACUGAAUGGGCACUAAUUCCCUAAUAUGUAAAGUUCCAGAGCGCACUGGGGAUUUGAGCAUAUCCAAACUGACUGCAAAAGCUGGAACAAUAACAAAUGAUUAUUUAAACAAAAACCCUAAAGGUGAUACGUCUACGUCUAACAAUAUUGUUCGGGUGGCCACAGCAGAUCAUUUGUCUUCAUCUUGCCUUGUCCUGAACGUUCUCCCCUGUUACACCGACCACCCAUAUGUCCUCCAUUACCACAUCCAUAAACCUCCUCCUUGGCCUCGCUCUCCACCUCCUGCCUCGUGGCUCCGAACUAAUAAAGUGAAAACGAGUUUGGAAUAAAUACACAUUAGCAUUUUCUUACAGUGUUACUUAAAUAGAUUUUUGUUAGUAUAGAAGAUUUAUUCAAUUUGACAGUAUUUGCCAAAGUCUAGAACUACAGUAAUUCUGCUUAAAGGUGUGGUCAGUGAUUUUUAUUCAGAAAUGUUGGAGGAAAUAACUGGGUCUCUGUCAUGCUCUGCAAACUUGAGGAAAAAACAAGAGGUGUCAGACAAUAUUAAACCAGUCAGAACAUGUGGAAUGUUUUAUUCACCUGUUCAUUAUGUGUAAA
Trichomycterus rosablanca is the source of this 924-nucleotide long non-coding RNA. RefSeq lists it as uncharacterized. The transcript is spliced from 3 exons. The record is from RefSeq and is a predicted model, not a curated record. NCBI's taxonomy places the organism in Eukaryota, Metazoa, Chordata, Actinopteri, Siluriformes, Trichomycteridae.